This 148-nucleotide small nucleolar RNA is filed under the name Colobus angolensis palliatus. RNAcentral describes it as "Small nucleolar RNA SNORA44 (ENSCANG00000000318.1)". The stretch from base 43 to 148 matches the Rfam family "Small nucleolar RNA SNORA44". From Rfam's summary of the family: ACA44 is a member of the H/ACA class of snoRNA that guide the sites of modification of uridines to pseudouridines. The record is from RNAcentral. Lineage: Eukaryota; Metazoa; Chordata; Mammalia; Primates; Cercopithecidae.
GAGCGAGACUCCGCCUCAAAAAUAUAUAUAUAUAUAUAUAUAUAGUGUGGUCAUGGGAUCUCCAACUGCAUGUAAGAGCAACCUGGAGAGACUUUGACAGAACAGGUCAGCAUAAUACCUGCAGCUGCCACUCGUCUUUCCUAGUGUG